GGGCAAGGUCCUCACCAUCUCCCCGCUCCCCAGCCGAAAGCAAGGAGUGCUGACCCCGCUCGCUGUCCUGGCAACGGGCGACGGCUCCCGCGUCUGGAAAAUGCGUGGAAGAGGCAGGGAAUUGUGAAUUUUAGAUGACGCGUUGCGAUGGCACGGCGGACCUCGGCGCGGAAGGUUUCCCAUGGAAAAUCAGGCGCAGUGGCUGUGCUACCGCCAGGCUGUCAGCUGCAGGCUUCAGGGGCGUUAGGUGAGCAAUUUCUUGCCGCUCCAAGCGAGCUGGGCCCAUAAACGCCAUCAGGAGUCAUUUGUCUGGAAACCCCUUGCAAAUUUGGAAAGAUUUUUCCAGACGUUUGUGAAAUACACUCGGUGACCUUACGCACGCAUUCUUACAUCUGACAUGCUAAAGAAGAUGAAUAUUCAUUUGUCUAAAUGGUAUUUUCAUAUAUGUAAGUCAUUACGAUACGUUCAAUAAACGUUUUGAUGUACUGACUAACAGCAGAACUAAGCAAACAAUUUGUAUGACAGGCAUUGAGAUAGACUAGCAAUCAGGAUUGAUUUCUAUAUUGACAUUGAUAUAAAGAGUAUCUGUAUCAUUUAAUUUUAGCAGUGGCUGAUGCAUAACAAGCUUUUUUUUUUUUCCCCUAAAAUAACAUUUUGUUUGUUUUUGUUUUGUUUUUCAUGUAUAACUGUUUCAAAACACAGGAAGUGGUUCUCAGGUGUGCAUAAACUUCAGUGCCGCCUUGGGUGCUUCCCUGCGCGGAGAUCGCUCCCAUCUCAGCGCUCGCCUUGCCAGAGGAAAGCUUGGAGCAGCCGUGUUUCAGAGCAAGCAGCGAGCCAGGAGACCGUUCUUCUUCCCCAGACAGGUGCACCCAAAAAAUGCCGCUCAGGGAGCACCCACGGCUUCACCAGCGGCUCCCGGGGGGGCUCCCGGGGGUGUCCCGGGGCCCGUCGCGGGUGCGUGCUGCCCCCCGCUGGCUGCGGAGGAACUGCGGGGCGGGCACCCCGCGGGUGGAGAAGAGAUGCUCCGGGGGGAAAGGCAGCCUUCUGGAGCUACCUGGAGGCUAAACAAUGCUGGUUUAUUAUUAGUAUUAUUAUUUUAAAGAAAAAAAGCUUGAUAGAACAUCACUGA
Molecule: long non-coding RNA, 1129 nt
Filed under: Anas platyrhynchos platyrhynchos (common mallard)
Lineage: Eukaryota; Metazoa; Chordata; Aves; Anseriformes; Anatidae
Description: lncRNA (ENSAPLG00000020565.1)
Source: RNAcentral